UACGGAGGAUGCAAGCGUUAUCCGGAAUGAUUGGGCGUAAAGCGUCCGCAGGUGGCUGUGUAAGUCUGCUGUUAAAGCGUCUGGCUUAACCAGAUACAAGCAGUGGAAACUACACAGCUAGAGUGCGUUCGGGGCAGAGGGAAUUCCUGGUGUAGCGGUGAAAUGCGUAGAUAUCAGGAAGAACACCGGUGGCGAAAGCGCUCUGCUAGGCCGCAACUGACACUGAGGGACGAAAGCUAGGGGAGCGAAUGGG
RNAcentral lists this ribosomal RNA (253 nucleotides) under uncultured bacterium. RNAcentral describes it as "partial 16S ribosomal RNA". It matches the Rfam family "Bacterial small subunit ribosomal RNA", at positions 524 to 776 of the family's 1533-position model. The record is from RNAcentral.